This is a long non-coding RNA of Marmota monax (woodchuck), 2126 nucleotides long. RefSeq lists it as uncharacterized. NCBI's taxonomy places the organism in Eukaryota, Metazoa, Chordata, Mammalia, Rodentia, Sciuridae. The record is from RefSeq and is a predicted model, not a curated record. The transcript is spliced from 5 exons.
CUGAAUAACUGAUUUAGAAUUACUAGUACAAAAAUUCUGUUUUCUUUGUUCUUGUUUUGCAUCCUUUUCCAGUUUGUAUUCUCUAGCUCUGAAUAUCUGUUUUUUUUUUUUUGAAGAAUGGAUUUAUAUGUGUUUCUCUCCCCUCUCCCUCUGCUUGUUCUCGAUCUUAAAAGUUACCUAGAGCAAGCCGCCUCUUUUUUCUCUUCUUGUUAUUUCCUUCGCUCAGCGGUGUGGAGCUGUGCGGCUGCUCGCCCCUGUUUGAAGCCACCCACACAGUUCGAAUCACACUCCCAGCCGCUGACAACUCAACACAACCCAAUGCCAGUCACAAAUGCUUCCCUCCUGAGUUCCACAACCACUAUGAAAAUGAGGCCGUGGGAUGUAAGAAGAAAAGAAAAUGAUGUUUCGUGACUGGAAUUUUUAAAAAUCUGAGAAAUAGGAAAUAAAGUAGGUCAGAUGAUUAUUUUAAGAUAAUCAGUGGUGACAACAGGAACUCAAAGCAAAUCUAUAUCAAAGAAUCUGGAAAAUCAAAACAAGCCAUGUGAGGUCCUUUUAUGUAAGUACCUCCUAGUGCUUCAGGGAGAAAUGAUAGCGAGGACUCUGGAAGGACUGCCAAGCAACAGUCACAGGAUCCCAGGAAGAGAGAACUUCAUGAGCCAUUUGGGGAAGUAGAGAAUAUUAUCUGAAGGACCACAAUUCCCAGAACCUGUUUAUCAGUGAGGAGAAGAGAAUGAGGUGAUGAGGAAAAGAAAGAACUAAUUUGUCUUACUAGUGUCUGUGAUGGUGAUGGAAAUUCAUGAACAAAGUGAUUUACUCUGCUGUUGAUACAGCCAGAUGCCUUACCUCUAGAUCUGAAGGCUGACCUGGAGCUCCUGGGUUCAAGAGAUUCUACUGCCUUAGUCUCCCAAGUAUCUGGGACUAUAGCCAGGUGCAGUGGUGUACAUCUGUAAUCCCAGCUACUCUGAAGGCUGAGGCCAGAAGACUGCAAAUUCGAGGCCAGCCUCAGCAAUUUAACAAGACCCAGUGUUAUGGUCUGAAUGUGAGGUAUCCCCCAAAAGCUCACAUGUGAGACAAUGCAAGAAGAUUCAGAGAGAAGUUAUGGGGUUGUGAGUGAAUUAACCCCCUGAUAGGGAUUAACUGAGUGGGAACUGAAGUGGUAGGGUGUGACUGGAGGAAGUGGGAAGUGGAGGUGUGAUUUGGGGGUAUAUAUUUGUUUCAGGCAAGUGGGGACCUCUCUCUGCUUCCUGAUCAUAAUAUGAAGUGCUUCCUUCCACCAUACUCUUCCACCAUGAUAUUCUGCCUCACCUUAAACCUUGAGUUUAUGGAUUGAGACCUCUGAAAACCAUGAACCCUCAAAUAAACUUUUCUUCCUGUAUGGUUGUUCUGGUCAGAUCCUUCAGUCACAUCAGCAAAAAUGCUAUCUAAAACAUCCUGUAUCUAAAUAAAGGAUUUUGGAAAAGGUCUAGGGGUAUAGCUCAUUGGUAAAGAGACCCUGGGUUCAAUUGCCAGUACUGGGGGGAAAAAAAGCAAGAAAGAAAGUUAAAUUUUUAGCAAAAUUGUAUUAUGAAUAUGUAGAUGUAUAUACUAUAUAUAAUAUACACAUUUAUAUGUAUUUAUUAUAUACUAUAUACAUUUAUAUGUAUUUAAAUAUUGUUUCAGGAUCUAGUGAGUAAAAUUUGUAAAAUACCAAUUUUGUUUCAUUUUAAAUUUUAAAUUAAUGUUGUGAAUGUAGAAAACUGCAGUCUUUAUAUAGUAACAAAAAAUGUAUAUGAAACUGAUUUUAAGUACUAUGUAGGAAACCAGAUGAAUUUAUUAUUUGAGAUGGAGGAGUUAGAUGAGUGGGCCACAGUUUAAUGGUGCCAAUAUUAAAUAAUACUGUUCACUCACUUCUGAAAAUCUGAAAUUUUGGCCAGACUACUUGUCACUGACAUCACUGCUUAUAAGAAUUAGAUAAUUAUGCUUUAGAUCCUUACUGAUAUAAUUUUGAACUGCAUCUAAGAAUAUCAUGUUUCAGUGACUCUAAGUGGAAGACCUCAGGUCUAAGACUCCCAAAUUUUGUCAGAGAUCUACUUUGCUAAAGUUUCACUGUAUUCAAGGAAACAAAUAAAGCUGAUUCUCAAGUAUAA